Long non-coding RNA from Papaver somniferum (opium poppy), 1389 nucleotides. RefSeq lists it as uncharacterized. The record is from RefSeq and is a predicted model, not a curated record. The transcript has 2 exons. NCBI's taxonomy places the organism in Eukaryota, Viridiplantae, Streptophyta, Magnoliopsida, Ranunculales, Papaveraceae.
UUUCUCUUUCUUCUUCUUCUUCUUCUUCUUCUUCUCUGCUCCUUGUUCAUCCUGCUAGAGAUUUCUGAGUUGAGAGUGAGAGACGAUCGAAUAAACUCUAUGGUGGAGUUGUAUAAAGGAUAGAUAGUCGAGGUUGUUGUUGGUUUAUCUUAAUAGGAAGAAGAAACGAUGAUUGAAAAGAAUUUAGAAUCUAGGGUUUCUGAAUCUGGUUUCAAGAUUCAAUUGAAGAUGAAUUUGAUGUUAAAGAGGGUGAUUUGAAAUGGGUAUUGAGGGAUUAAACGAAUUAGGGUUUGGAAUUGAAGAAUAACUCGAAAUGAAUAAUUAUGGUUUAAGCAGCGAUUCGGGAAUUCAAGAUGAAGUUAAUUGAAAGGAUGAGUUGAAGCUGUCCUGGUGAUGAAUCUGCAUAGCAAGAUUCUUUGUGAGAAUGGGAAUUCCAGAUUAGGGUUUUGCAUGUUCUUCCCCAAAUUAGUGAGUCAGUGGAUUAGAUUCUAAAGAGAACUUAGAUUAAAUGGUAGAGAUGAAGAUUUUGAUUGGGUUAUAAGAAGGUGAUGGAACUAUUAUGAGUCUUGAACUGGUUGGUGCUUGAGCAAAGCUUAUCUGAGGUAAUUGAUCUUCUCUGUAGUUUAAUUAAGUUAUUCAAUUCAAUUUUUGAAAUUAUGAAAUAAUUGGGAAGCUAGGAACUGAGUGAUUAUGGUGAGUGGGUUGAUGAACUGAGUUGCCGGUGGAAUGAGAUGGUGUUGUAGGAAGAGAAUUUAUGCAGUUCAUUCUUUAGCUGCAGUUAUUGGAUUUGGUUGUGCUGGUGGUGGUUUUCCUGAGUUAAACUAAUUGAGCUGAAGUGAUGAGUUUAGAUGACUGUUGGGCCUAAUAGUUACCACAGUGAAGAUUUGAGUUAAAUGAUGAAAUGUAGAAGAUGUUGGUGGAGCUGUAAUUGUAAUUGAGUUGGUGUUCUGUGUAGAAUUGAAUGUAGUUAUAAUAUUUUGUGGUGUUGAUGGUUGGUGGUCUUAGUUGGGGUUGUAAUUGCAGAACUGAAGGGGAUAAUUUUUGGUGGUUGUUUGAUUCAGAAAAUGUGUUGGUGGAAUGUUGUGUUGAUGGUGGAUCAGCUCAGGUACAGAUUAACUAGAAUUGUAGUUGAAAUUCAGAACAAAGAAAUGAGGUUGUGUUGUUGAGUAUGGAAUGAGUAUGUAAUGAAGUUGAAGUUUAUAACUUGGAGUGUGUCGAGUUACAAGUAAUAUAGAAUUGGUGCAGAUAUAAUUGAUAGUGAUGAUUGUGUAAUCAAUGGAUAGUCUCUUCGAAAGCUGUUGCUAUUGCAAUUGCAGGUAAACUUAGGUUGCAUUGUAAUUGGAAUUUGAAGUUUAUUGAAUGAUUCAAUUCAUGUAUUUUAGUUUGAAA